Molecule: long non-coding RNA, 1329 nt
Organism: Malurus melanocephalus (red-backed fairy wren)
Lineage: Eukaryota; Metazoa; Chordata; Aves; Passeriformes; Maluridae
Exons: 4
Source: RefSeq, a predicted model, not a curated record
GCUAAUGUCUUGGAAGCCAGCUGCUGGAUCUAGCUCUGCGAGGGAUGGAUCUUCAGAAGAUCAGCAAGUGUUAUCAAUCCCCUUAAAGGGAAGGGCUGCUAAUUCAACCUUUCACACUCCUGUGAGUCAUCGAGCAAAUAGUCCAGCAGAUGGAUCUGAGGUUCCUUCAGUUUUCCAUGCAAAGUUUAUUUUUCAAUAAGUGRGCACUAGAGGACAACAGAAAGUCGAUGUUGAAUUUGCCCCUUCUUUGUACAAAACUGCCACAGAGAACAUCUUGCAGAAUGUGGGUGCUCCUGGUUUUUUUCCAUGAAAGUUCGUGAGGGUACCUUGAGACUAAAUCCAGAUGCCUGGAUCAGAUAYGUGGAUUAUGGAAAACAGAAGAUACCUAAGUGCCCAGCAGGAUGAUGACAAAAUAUGCUCUAAAGAUGACAUUCACUGCACAUUUUCAAACAGCUGCAGUUUUACAUCAAAAUUCUUGAUGUCUCUGCACAUUUUAGUUCAACAGUUUGAUAAUACAUAGCAGAAAUAUUAUCAUUUAGGGCUGCAGACAGAGGGAUCACAAAAGAGGAAAGCAGAGACAUGAGGCUGGAUGCUCGUGGAGAGCUUCGUCUGAUCUUGAGCAGUGCUGCAGGAAAAUGCUCCCCUGGGCAUGGUCCUGGGAGCUGAGCUGGUGUUGCCGGGUUUGGGGAGCUGGGUUUGCACCCAAGUGGGGGAAGAGGCUGAAGUCAGAUGAGACACCCCCAGGAGAGGGGGGCAGCACUAGCCAGGGUCACACCCUCCCUGGGGUGGCUCUGGAAGACACAGAAAGGAAUGUGAAUUCGUUCUGUGGCUGCAAGGUUUGAAAGACCUUCACAGAGGAAUCACCUGUAUAAAGAAAAUAUGAAGUGUGCUUGUUUCAGGGGGAAAGGAAAGUGUUGUGUGUGUCAUGGCUACUCCUCAUUAAACUGUUUGUAAACAAGUCAUUUGUUCAAYUUGCCUUGGAGUGUCUGUGUUACAGGAUAAAAUGUUUCUGGUGAACCAGCACCACGAUCAUAAAGAGCCAUGUGAUGAUGAUUUGCAGCAUAGGGCUGAUCAUAGGCAAUUUACUACAAGGUGAAAUAAUACUAUUUAUUUCUUUCCUCAGUCAUCAGAAGAUCUGCUUCAGGGAACUGGAGCAUUGUCAGCAGAGAGCUUGACCAGUCAGAGUAAUUAAAAGCAGUUCAAAGAUAUCCUGACAGAGAAAAAACAUUCUUGGGUAAUAAUAAUGUGGGGUGUUCAUGAGUUUUUUUGGGCAAACUAGCAAAGGAAAAUUACUGGGUAAUUUAGCUAGAUAGCUUCUUGGAGUGACUG